CUUGGAGGAAUGUAUAGCAACAGCUAUUUGCGUAGUAAUACUAUGCAAAAUCAACUAUGUUGAAUAAAGUUCUGGUUAGAUUAUGAUUAUGACAUUUUCUAACCAUGUGUCUUGACCAAAUUACGUGCCAGCAGUCGCGGUAAUACGUAGAAGACUAGUGUUAUUCAUCUUUAAUAGGUUUAAAGGGUACUUAGACGGCAGAUAAAGCCAUAAUAGGAACUAAUCUGCUAGAGUUACUUGUAAGGGGGCUAUAAAGUACUAAUGGUGUAGGGAUAAAAUCCUCUGAUACCAUUUUUGGAAACAAAAGUAAUGGCACUGGUA
RNAcentral lists this ribosomal RNA (321 nucleotides) under Megalaria danfordiana. RNAcentral describes it as "SSU rRNA". It matches the Rfam family "Bacterial small subunit ribosomal RNA", at positions 352 to 734 of the family's 1533-position model. Lineage: Eukaryota; Fungi; Ascomycota; Lecanoromycetes; Lecanorales; Megalariaceae. The record is from RNAcentral.